This 440-nucleotide ribosomal RNA is filed under the name uncultured bacterium. RNAcentral describes it as "bacterial SSU rRNA". It matches the Rfam family "Bacterial small subunit ribosomal RNA", at positions 338 to 792 of the family's 1533-position model. The record is from RNAcentral.
CCUACGGGUGGCAGCAGUGGGGAAUAUUGGGCAAUGGGGGAAACCCUGACCCAGCAACGCCGCGUGAAGGAAGAAGGCCUUCGGGUUGUAAACUUCUUUUACCAGGGACGAAGGACGUGACGGUACCUGGAGAAAAAGCCACGGCUAACUACGUGCCAGCAGCCGCGGUAAUACGUAGGUGGCAAGCGUUGUCCGGAUUUACUGGGUGUAAAGGGCGUGUAGGCGGAGCUGCAAGUCAGAUGUGAAAUCUCUGGGCUCAACCCAGAAACUGCAUUUGAAACUGUAGCCCUUGAGUAUCGGAGAGGCAAGCGGAAUUCCUAGUGUAGCGGUGAAAUGCGUAGAUAUUAGGAGGAACACCAGUGGCGAAGGCGGCUUGCUGGACGACAACUGACGCUGAGGCGCGAAAGCGUGGGGAGCAAACAGGAUUAGAUACCCUUGUA